CAAUAGCGUAUAUUUUAGUUGUUGCAGUUAAAAAGCUCGUAGUUGAAUUUCUGGUGAGCGAGAGCGGUCCGAUCAAUGAUUGGUGCUUGCUUUCGCUGGCCAUCCUUGGGUUUAGCCAGUCUGGCAUUAAGUUGUCGGGCUGGGGAUGCCCAUCGUUUACUGUGAAAAAAUUAGAGUGUUCAAAGCAGACUUAUGUCGUUGAAUAUAUUAGCAUGGAAUAAUAAGAUAGGACUACAGUGCUAUUUUGUUGGUUUGCGCACCGUGGUAAUGAUGAAUAGGGACAGUUGUGGGUAUUCGUAUUCACUUGUAAGAGGUGAAAUUCUUAGAUUAAGGGAAGACGAACUACUGCGAAAGCAUUUACCAAGGAUGUUUUCAUUAA
RNAcentral lists this ribosomal RNA (379 nucleotides) under uncultured eukaryote. Its description in RNAcentral is "partial 18S ribosomal RNA". It matches the Rfam family "Eukaryotic small subunit ribosomal RNA", at positions 592 to 976 of the family's 1831-position model. The record is from RNAcentral.